GCAGUCGUGGCCGAGUAGUUAAGGCGUUGGACUUGAAAUUCAAUGGGGUUUCCCUGCGCAGGUUCGAAUCCUGCUGGCUGCG
This 82-nucleotide transfer RNA is filed under the name Eurytemora carolleeae. RNAcentral's name for it is "transfer RNA serine (anticodon UGA)". It matches the Rfam family "tRNA". From Rfam's summary of the family: Transfer RNA (tRNA) molecules are approximately 80 nucleotides in length. Their secondary structure includes four short double-helical elements and three loops (D, anti-codon, and T loops). Further hydrogen bonds mediate the characteristic L-shaped molecular structure. tRNAs have two regions of fundamental functional importance: the anti-codon, which is responsible for specific mRNA codon recognition, and the 3' end, to which the tRNAs corresponding amino acid is attached (by aminoacyl-tRNA synthetases). tRNAs cope with the degeneracy of the genetic code in two manners: having more than one tRNA (with a specific anti-codon) for a particular amino acid; and 'wobble' base-pairing, i.e. permitting non-standard base-pairing at the 3rd anti-codon position. The record is from RNAcentral. Lineage: Eukaryota; Metazoa; Arthropoda; Copepoda; Calanoida; Temoridae.